GGACGGGUGAGUAACGCGUAGGAAUUUACCCAGCAGUACGGAAUAACCAUCGGAAACGGUGGCUAAUACCGCAUACGCCCUACGGGGGAAAGGGGGGGAUCGCAAGACCUCUCACUAUUGGAGCGGCCGAUAUCGGAUUAGCUAGUUGGUGGGGUAAAGGCUCACCAAGGCGACGAUCCGUAGCUGGUUUGAGAGGACGACCAGCCACACUGGGACUGAGACACGGCCCAGACUCC
This 236-nucleotide ribosomal RNA is filed under the name uncultured bacterium. RNAcentral describes it as "partial 16S ribosomal RNA". It matches the Rfam family "Bacterial small subunit ribosomal RNA", at positions 100 to 339 of the family's 1533-position model. The record is from RNAcentral.